CCCCAAAGUGCACGUGCGCGACAUGUGCGGCAUCUCGGACGGUUGGCCGGGUGGGCGGGUGCCGCACAGAUGCCAGAGGCACGGCGAGAGAACCCCCACGCUGCAUCAUCGGAGGGGAAAGGAGGGGGAGGGUCCUCCAGACCCGAAUGUAACCAGUCACCCGAGCAUACUAUGGAAUGCGGCCCCGCUUAAUGCGACUGAGGAAGACGCACGGCCUAUGGGCAGGGUGCAGGGUUUCCGAGAGGGUGCUGACUUGAGGCUGCCCGAUUUCCUCCUUGCGCACAUCCGGCAUGCACCUGGACCACGCGCUGCAACCCGCAUGAUGCAAGCUCCACCGCUUCCGCCCUCGAGCAGGACCCUGGAUGCGGCCCGCUUUGGAUGAAGGCAAGUGGUGCACCCUGAGUCCGUCUGGCGCCUACCGCGCAGCAUUUAUCCGAAGGGGAGACGAAAAAGGAGGAGGACAGUCGGUGGGGUGCACGGCGCAAGUCAAUGUCAGCACGGUUCAUCCUCGACGACCAGAAUGAGGCAAUGGUGCAGCAGAGGUAGGGCACCUGUGGUUGUGUGCACGCGUAUACAUUUGUGGACGUGUUCGUGGUGGAAUGGACAGGCUGAAAAAAAAGGAUCUUUUUUACCCUCAUGACAGGUAGAGAAGGCACCGUAGCGCGGGGUAUAUCUGGGUCCAGCACCCCACUCUGUGAUAAAGCCAAGCAAGCCCCAUCCCCUGCCAGUCCCGAAUCGCCUUCGGUGGCGACAAGCACCCUACGGCGUAGGGAGUGGUCAGAGCGAUGCAUCGCUGCGGAUGUCGGCGCUCGGGUCCUGGAUGGCAUUGCGUCGAAGUGGCCUGCCACAGUGAAGGCGUUUCUAUG
RNAcentral lists this unclassified non-coding RNA (866 nucleotides) under Leishmania donovani. RNAcentral's name for it is "gene:unknown". The record is from RNAcentral. Lineage: Eukaryota; Euglenozoa; Kinetoplastea; Trypanosomatida; Trypanosomatidae.